Non-coding RNA from Schistosoma mansoni, 45 nucleotides. The record is from Rfam. NCBI's taxonomy places the organism in Eukaryota, Metazoa, Platyhelminthes, Trematoda, Strigeidida, Schistosomatidae.
AUCCAGCUGACGAGUCCCAAAUAAGAUGAAACUCGCGUACUGGAU